CCCUGUCCCCUCCCUGUCUGCUGUCUCACCAGCAGGUACACUGAUCAGCCAUGAGAAACUCCUGCUGCAGAUCAACACAGAGAGAGAGAUGGGCAACAUGGACUACAAACUGGGACAGGUAGGAUGGAGAGAGAGAUGGACUACAAACUGGGACAGGUAGGAUGGAGAGAGAGAUGGACUACAAACUGGGACAGGUAGGAUGGAGAGAGAGAUGGACUACAAACUGGGACAGGUAGGAUGGAGAGAGAGAUGGACUACAAACUGGGACAGGUAGGAUGGAGAGAGAGAUGGACUACAAACGGGGACAGGUAGGAUGGAGAGAGAGAUGGACUACAAACUGGGACAGGUAGGAUGGAGAGAGAGAUGGACUACAAACUGGGACAGGUAGGAUGGAGAGAGAGAUGGACUACAAACUGGGACAGGUAGGAUGGAGAGAGAGCUGGACUACAAACUGGGACAGGUAGGAUGGAAGGAGAGAGAGAUGGGGAACAUGGACUACAAACUGGGACAGGUAGGAUGGAGGGAUGGAAGGAGAGAGAGAUGGACUACAAACUGCGACAGGUAGGAUGGAGGGAGAGAGAUGGGACACAUGGGCUACAAACUGGGACUGGAGGGAUGGAAGGAGAGAGAGAUGGACUACAAACUGGGACAGGUAGGAUGGAGGGAGAGAGAGAUGGGACACAUGGACUACAAACUGG
This is a long non-coding RNA of Oncorhynchus tshawytscha (Chinook salmon), 698 nucleotides long. NCBI's taxonomy places the organism in Eukaryota, Metazoa, Chordata, Actinopteri, Salmoniformes, Salmonidae. The record is from Ensembl.